UCCGUAGGCGGUGCGGCAAGUCGGAAGUGAAAUCUCAGGGCUUAACCCUGAGGCUGCUUCCGAAACUGCCGUGCUCGAGUGCGAGAGAGGCGAGUGGAAUUGCAGGUGUAGCGGUGAAAUGCGUAGAUAUCUGCAGGAACAUCCGAGGCGGAAGCGGCUCGCUGGAUCGCAACUGACGCUGAGGGACGAAAGCUAGGGGAGCAAACAGGAUUAGAUACCCUGGUAGUCCUAGCCCUAAACGAUCAGGACUGGGCGUGGGCCUCGUACGGGGCUCGUGCCGCAGCUAACGCGUUAAGUCCUGCGCCUGGGGAGUACGGUCGCAAGGCUGAA
This 330-nucleotide ribosomal RNA is filed under the name uncultured bacterium. RNAcentral describes it as "bacterial SSU rRNA". It matches the Rfam family "Bacterial small subunit ribosomal RNA", at positions 568 to 898 of the family's 1533-position model. The record is from RNAcentral.